GAGAGAAAUGAAGAUUUGUUACCCAUCUAUUCUGUAUAAGGAUGAUGACUUUUUAACAUGCACUACCAUCUGAUCUCUC
Papaver somniferum (opium poppy) is the source of this 79-nucleotide small nucleolar RNA. The record is from RefSeq and is a predicted model, not a curated record. NCBI's taxonomy places the organism in Eukaryota, Viridiplantae, Streptophyta, Magnoliopsida, Ranunculales, Papaveraceae.